GCAGUUAGCACAGUUGGCUAGAGCGUGGUGCUGAUGAUGCCAAGGUCGUGAGUUCGAUCCUCUAGGAUUUGAGGAUGCU
Non-coding RNA from Podarcis lilfordi (Lilford's wall lizard), 79 nucleotides. The record is from the annotation of a GenBank genome assembly. Lineage: Eukaryota; Metazoa; Chordata; Lepidosauria; Squamata; Lacertidae.